RNAcentral lists this long non-coding RNA (1171 nucleotides) under Equus caballus (horse). RNAcentral describes it as "lncRNA (ENSECAG00000031877.3)". Lineage: Eukaryota; Metazoa; Chordata; Mammalia; Perissodactyla; Equidae. The record is from RNAcentral.
GUAAGUUCACAUGACACAACAGUUUAGUUACUUGGAAUGUCUCGCAAGGUCUUGCAAGUUGAACUACUUCUUUAAAGUACGGUUUUUCAGUGGGCAGAAUUGACAACUGAAGAAGGCUUUCAAAGAACUGUUACUCUAUUUAUCCAACUUGAAAGACAUGAAGAGUACUUCAAAGGUUUUCCCUCCCUAGCCUUACUCAACAUUCAGUGCAAACAAAUGUAAAGGAAAGGACAGCUUCCUACUCUGCUCUCAAGACUCAUUUUGCUCAAUGAAAGAAAAGUCACAGCUGUUACCCUGCAGCUGCUGCCAGAUGCCGUCUGCCAAGUAAAGCAGCAUCAUGACGUUAAACUAAGAUCUGAUCAUCUGAGACCUGCUGCAGGAAUGAAUGGUACAUUUUGUCUUUCCAGAGCACUGAUGGAUCUACUCGCAUCCUUUUCAGUGAAGUGGAAAUAGUGAUUGCAAACAUCUGGGCAUGUAGAGCAUCUCUUUCCUAAGCAUUUGGUCAGCAUCAAUAUAACUGAAAGCUCUUUCAGCCUUUGUAAUUGUUAGAAUCACUCUCCAAUUUUAUUUAAAUUUAUGUGUAAACAGUAGGAAAAUAUUUCGCUAAUGGUUACAUGACUUGAAAUUGAUUUUCCAAAAACACACAAAGCUGAGAGAGUGGAAAGUAUCACUAAACAUCUAUAGAAAUUCUUUAAAAAAAUCAUUGCCUAUUCUUUUUUCCAGAUUCUUGAGAAAGUAUAAGAGAGACACCUACUGGAGAGAACAAGAUGUAUCUCGUUAUCAGAUGAAUUUUCAGUUUCAGGGAAAUAAAACAACUAUGUGUCUACUGCCCUAAGAUUUUAUACCAUAUACUUUAGAGAUGAACAUGUUACCAUAGUUAUGAAGAUUUAUUUAUGGAAAUAUGUGAACAUCACAUAAUCAAUUGUCAUGGGAAGGCUAAGUUUGAUUCAAAAGAUAAAUCAGAAACCACUUAGGUAAAUCAAACAAGUAUUGCUUAUCUAAAUGAUACAGAAGAGAGGCCAGCUAGGAUAUACAGCUCCAAUUGAACAGUUCCCAGAAGAGAAUAAGGUAUAAGUUUUAGGUCCCGCUCCGCGACUACUUGGAGUAGCUGUGGCUGAAUAGUUCUGAGAGAUUAAAUGUCACAUAAACCUGGAAGCUCAGUUGCACCAAU